UUCAGCGGCAGUCAGCUGUCCAUGUCAGUACCGUGCUUGACAGUGUUACACUGCUGGGAGAGGAAAAUAUUGUCCAAUCUGUCUGUCACUGUCACUGUUCUGGAGGCAUAUUGGCAGCAGGGUGGGGCAGUGCUGUGCUUCUUUGAGAGUGUGCUGAGAAGUUAAUAUCCUGCUCAGCACUAGAAUGGGAGCAUACACA
Molecule: small nucleolar RNA, 199 nt
Filed under: Podarcis muralis (Common wall lizard)
Lineage: Eukaryota; Metazoa; Chordata; Lepidosauria; Squamata; Lacertidae
Description: Small nucleolar RNA SNORA74 (ENSPMRG00000016186.1)
Rfam family: Small nucleolar RNA SNORA74
About the family: U19 belongs to the H/ACA class of snoRNAs. snoRNAs bind a number of proteins (including dyskerin, Gar1p and Nop10p in the case of the H/ACA class) to form snoRNP complexes. This class are thought to guide the sites of modification of uridines to pseudouridines by forming direct base pairing interactions with substrate RNAs. Targets may include ribosomal and spliceosomal RNAs but the exact functions of many snoRNAs, including U19, are not confirmed.
Source: Rfam by way of RNAcentral